CCUACGGGGGGCAGCAGUGGGGAAUAUUGGACAAUGGGGGGAACCCUGAUCCAGCCAUGCCGCGUGUGUGAAGAAGGCCCUCGGGUUGUAAAGCACUUUCAGUGAGGAAGAACGCCUGGUGGUUAAUACCCAUCAGGAAAGACAUCACUCACAGAAGAAGCACCGGCUCAACUCCGUGCCAGCAGCCGCGGUAAUACGGAGGGUGCGAGCGUUAAUCGGAAUUACUGGGCGUAAAGCGCGCGUAGGUGGCUUGAUAAGCCGGUUGUGAAAGCCCCGGGCUCAACCUGGGAACGGCAUCCGGAACUGUCAAGCUAGAGUGCAGGAGAGGAAGGUAGAAUUCCCGGUGUAGCGGUGAAAUGCGUAGAGAUCGGGAGGAAUACCAGUGGCGAAGGCGGCCUUCUGGACUGACACUGACACUGAGGUGCGAAAGCGUGGGUAGCAAACAGGAUUAGAUACCCUAGUAGUC
RNAcentral lists this ribosomal RNA (466 nucleotides) under Vreelandella stevensii. Its description in RNAcentral is "partial 16S ribosomal RNA". It matches the Rfam family "Bacterial small subunit ribosomal RNA", at positions 338 to 795 of the family's 1533-position model. Lineage: Bacteria; Pseudomonadati; Pseudomonadota; Gammaproteobacteria; Oceanospirillales; Halomonadaceae. The record is from RNAcentral.